GGCGUUGUGACGGAGUGGUUAUCGUGUAUGACUCGAAUUAUGACUCUUCUGAGCACAUCUGAUAGAUAUCAUAUGCCUUCGGGCGCGCAGGUUCGAAUCCUGCCAACGUCG
Molecule: non-coding RNA, 111 nt
Organism: Clathrospora elynae
Lineage: Eukaryota; Fungi; Ascomycota; Dothideomycetes; Pleosporales; Diademaceae
Source: the annotation of a GenBank genome assembly